CUGUUACAGCUGUCCUAGCCAGAAAUUCACAGGGUGAGAUUAUAGGAGCAGAAACUUAUCUUUUUUCUGAUGUUGUGGAUGCGUUUGUGGCUGAAGCAAGGGCUUGCGAAAGGGCGUUAAUCUUUGCGAAGAGGAUGCUUUUCCGACGACUGAUUGUGGAAGGUGAUUCGCUGACAGUUAUCAAUAAUGUUCAAAGGAAGGAGAAGGACAAAUCGGUGCUCAGACCGAUUACACAUCAUAUAUACAUGUUGGGUAUGGCUUUUGAGGAGGUUUCUUACCUUGCAGUGCCUCGAUCGAUUAAUGAAGCGGCUCAUUUACUGGCACUGGAGGGUCAUAGACGAAAGUUCUUUGGAGAUUGGCUCACCGGUGUGCCAGAUUCUGUCCGUGUUGCGGCUUUACAAGAUCGCUUGGCUUGGGACCAACGGAACUGAGUUUCUGUUGUUGUGCUUUGAAAAUGGAAGUGGAUCCUUUGUGGGGCUUGUUCUCUUGUUCUUUCUUAUUCCAGAUGCUGAUGAUGAGGAGAGCUAUGGCUGAUAUUGAGGGUAGGUCAGUGGUUUCUUGGCCUAAGUUUUGGCUUCUGAUGGGUUGGUUCGAUAGUUUCUAGGCAUUUGAUUGUUUGUUUCUUUGUUUCUUUAUUUUGCUCUGUUUUUGUUUUUUCUCUGUUGGUGCUUGCCAACUGUCCAGUUUGUCGGUUCUGUUUUCUUUCUUUUGACGUUUCAGAAGCUGUUGUCAUGAGCUAUUCUUUUAUAUAAUAUCAGUCUAUUUCAUUCAAAAAAAAAAUUAUAAUUACACAA
Molecule: long non-coding RNA, 794 nt
Filed under: Gossypium raimondii (Peruvian cotton)
Lineage: Eukaryota; Viridiplantae; Streptophyta; Magnoliopsida; Malvales; Malvaceae
Description: long non-coding RNA (GRAI_LNC005923)
Source: RNAcentral